UCCCUGGUGGUCCAGUGGUUAGGACUCUGCACUUGCACUGCAGGGGGCACAGGUUCGAUCCCUGGCUGGGGAA
This is a non-coding RNA of Bos taurus (domestic cattle), 73 nucleotides long. The record is from Rfam. NCBI's taxonomy places the organism in Eukaryota, Metazoa, Chordata, Mammalia, Artiodactyla, Bovidae.